GAUAAAAAUAAGCUAAAUACACUUGAUCACUUCAAAUCUCUACCUAGUAAAAGUAUAUCAAGUAUCACAUUGAAGAAGAAUGAUAGUAGUCAACAAAAUAUUAUAGGCUGUAUCAAUUUAGAAUUUAAAGGAAUAUCUCAAUUAAUAUUCACACCAAGGGGUAAAAAAAAUAGUGAUAACAAACAAAAAAAUACACUAAGUCACAACAAAUCACUAUCUAAUAA
Molecule: long non-coding RNA, 224 nt
Organism: Gordionus sp. m RMFG-2023
Lineage: Eukaryota; Metazoa; Nematomorpha; Gordioida; Chordodea; Parachordodidae
Exons: 3
Source: RefSeq, a predicted model, not a curated record